GAUGAACGCUGGCGGCGUGCCUAAUACAUGCAAGUCGAGCGAACAGACGAGGAGCUUGCUCCUCUGACGUUAGCGGCGGACGGGUGAGUAACACGUGGAUAACCUACCUAUAAGACUGGGAUAACUUCGGGAAACCGGAGCUAAUACCGGAUAAUAUAUUGAACCGCAUGGUUCAAUAGUGAAAGACGGUUUUGCUGUCACUUAUAGAUGGAUCCGCGCCGCAUUAGCUAGUUGGUAAGGUAACGGCUUACCAAGGCAACGAUGCGUAGCCGACCUGAGAGGAGGAGUAGGCACACGGGAACGCAGACACGGGCCAGACGGACACGGGAGGGACCAAGGGGUAAGAUUGGAAAAUGGGCGAAAUCCUGAUACAGCCUGGUCAAGUGGGAGAAGAAGGUCUUCGAAUCCUAAAGCACUUUAAGUUGGGACGAAGGGAAGUAACAGAAGACAUCGACGGCCUGACGUGACCAACAGAGUAAGCACCGGCUAACUUCGUG
RNAcentral lists this ribosomal RNA (497 nucleotides) under uncultured bacterium. RNAcentral's name for it is "partial 16S ribosomal RNA". It matches the Rfam family "Bacterial small subunit ribosomal RNA", at positions 28 to 507 of the family's 1533-position model. The record is from RNAcentral.